AGAAGCAGAAGAAGAAGAAAGAGAGAAGCAGAAAGCGUAGAUAGCGACAAAAGCAUGGUAAGAUCAGAUCUUUUGUUUCGUUUUACCUAUUUCCCCCAAAUAAAAAUGCAAAUUGUAUAAAGCAAAGAUCCAAAAACAAAAGAAAACAAAACUGAAUGAACUUUAAAAUUAAAAAAAAAACAUGUCUAUCUCCCUUUUUGACAUUCAUUUUGUGCUAUCCAAGCAGUCAAAGAAGAAGACGAAACAUAAGUUUAAUUGAAAAACAAAAGAGAUGAUGAAAAAGAGUCCCCAAGUGGGGCGAAAACUAGGUUAAGACUUAGCGAAAAAAAAAACAAAAAGUAAAACUAAAAAAAACUAAAGAAUAUAAGAAAAAUUGCAGUACGCAGCAGAUUCAGUAGCUCUAGAGAUCUAAAAAAAAACAAUGGAAAAUAAGCGAAAGCGAAAGAAUACGAUGCAAGAAGAGUGGAAGUAGAUGUAAAAGUAGAAGUGGAAGUGAAAGUGAAGGUGAAGAAUGGAGAGAGGGAAGAGAAAAAUCUUGUACUAGUUUUUAGCAUAUUUUUUGUGCUCAUCAGUCGAUUUAAUGAAUGAAUUUUUUGUAGCUGUCUACAGUUUUUUACGUUUAACUGUUUUUUAGACAUAUUACUGAAGGUAAAAACCAAGUUAGGUAUAGUAUAUUUUUCUGCAAAAUGCAAGAGAAGAGAAGUAAAUGGAAGGGAGGAGAUAAAUGGACGAUUAGCAAGGAAACCAAGAGGCAAACACUUUAUAAAAGGGAAUAGCAAAAACCAACCAAACAGAACACACACAAAAAGUAGCAAAAACUAAAAAAAAAACAAAACAUGGAAAAUAAAUUUGAAAUUGUAGAACUGUAGUUUAGCUUUGUGAAAGAGUUGGAUGAGGAGGAGGAAAAGAAGACGAUUGGAUGGGAAAACCGAAAGGCAGAACGGUAGAAUGAGAGGAAUGAUGGAGUUUGGUUUUUUUGAAGAGUAAGCCAGAGUUAGGAUCAACAACCGAAAGAGAAGCAGAACAGAUAUAAAAAAAAAUAUUAAUGUUUAAUGAAGAAAAAAACAGGAGGGCGAAGCAGAAGCAGCAGUAAGAAAGAAGAACUACGUUUAGUGAAACUUAGUUAAUAAGCGAGGAUUUCUUUAGUCUUGUAAGCGUCUAUUAAGUAGAUUUUGGAGAAUGUAGAAUGGAGAUAGGAAAGUGGAAAAGCAAGUUUAGAAUUUAAAUUGAACACCUUUUCAGAGCCUAGCCUAUAUUUAUUUUCUUAAAACACCAACACAUGGACACAGACACACUAACACACAUUCAGACACAGACGCAGACAGACAUCCAUUGUAUUUGUGAUUUUUUUCGAAUUUUAAAAAACAAAGCAAAAGAAGAAGGAAAUAAGGAAGGAUGUGAGUGCAGCGGAUCCAAGUGGGGUCUGAGGGAUAGCCGGAUCUCGGACAGGGUUGCCAACUUGUAUUCGGAGACACACACACAGAGGAUCCCACACGCAUAGAGCAAACAACAUUCCUGAGCCAAGUCUUUGAAUUGAUUUGAUUUUCGUAUAUAAUGUGUAUGGGGAUUGCUAAAACGAUUUCUCGGUUUAGAGUUGUCAGGUCGCAACAACCGCAAGUUCACCUGCCUAUAUGUAGUCAUAAAUACACAUAUUAUAUAGACAUAACAUACAUACUAUAUACAAAAAGUAAGAAACACAACGCCAAAAGUCUUCCUAAGCCCAAAAACAAAACCUCAACAAAAUAUGCAAAUGUUAUUCUGUUUGGUUUCAUCUAACUACUUACUCGUAUGAUUAAUUUGCUUUUAGACUGACUACGAACUAAAAUUUAAAAAAAUUUAUGAAAACAACAAACGGACAUGCAGGAUGGACACACACGGACAUAUGUAAUACAGGCAUCGGGAAAAGUUUCUAGUGGAAGAGGGAGAAAGCGAGGGAUAACGGAAAAUAUUUUGCCAAAACAUUCCAAAAGCAAAGCAAUAAAAAUUAGAAAAUUCAAUGGAGAGGAUGCGGAUGCCUGCAUUUGUUGUCAUCGGCAGAAAAAUCACAAAUACAACAGCAAUAAAAAAAUCGAACGAAAUUAUUUUUGAAACUUUUUUCAAUUUCCUCACACUUCACAUACACAAACACACAUACUCGAACUCUCACACACACCACACACAAAGUGCAAUUUUUUUUCUAUAGGUUUUAUUGAUUUUACUUUCGUUAGCAGCAAACAACUUAAGCAAAUUGAGAAAGCAUUAAAAUCUAAGUUAGUUCCCACCCUAGAAAGGCAGAAAUUAAUUUAUGUUUUAGGGAAAGAAGAGAACGAGUCGAUGUAACGGAGGAGAGUAAGCUAGUAUAUAAGAUCACAGCAUUAGCGUGUAAGUUUAGCGAACCUAAGUACAGUGUUGACAGGCGCGAAUGAACGGAACAGAGCGAUAUAGCAGUUGGUCGACGAGGUAGGACAUAUGAUUUUUAGAGGGUAGUAAAAAGAGAAGCAGCGACAAGCGCCCCAUUAGCUGGUUAGUUAGAGAGCGACGACCGACACACACACACACACACAUUUAGCAAGUUGUAGUUUUUGUGUAGUUAGAGAAAGAGCUAGCGGGCGACAGAGCAGUGUUGAUAAACGCCACGCUGCACCGUGCCGCACAGUUUGAGGUUAGGUUUAAUUUUGGAAAAGGAGGAAUGGACAGCAAGAAAGAAAAUGGGUAAACAAUAAAAUCAAUCGACGAGAGCGGUGAUGGAGUAGUGAGUGUUCUAAUUUAAAACCUAUACUGAUUUCUUUUGUGUAUUCUACAAACUUGAAACUUGUUUGUGUUGCGUCUGUAUUUUGUUUUAAUUUAAUACGUUUUACUUUAGUUUUUUAACUAAUUUUAAGUAGUUAAUUUAUUAUUUGUCUUAAAAUCGCAGAGACCCCAUUCAAGAUACAAGAUUGCUUGGGUUUUUUCGCCCCACACCCACCCAUUGAAGACCUCUCUCUGGCAGAGGAGCGAACCGAUUAAAUUUGAAGCGAGUGUUGAAGUAAUUUUUAAAAUGCAAAAAAAUGUCUAGUGCGUAAAAUGGAAAAUUAAACACAACAAAAAUUUCAAUAAAAAACAAAAACAAACAAAUAAUUUACGGUUUUUUCGUGUGCGUGUUUUUCUAUCAGCGUUUACUUUUAUGUUUUCCGUUGCUGUUUUGUGUUUAUUUUCGAUGUGAUUUCGUACUAGUUAAAUGUUUGCUAUAUGGCCCGCACCCAACUAACCACAUCCCUAAAUCCCGCACCCAAUAGAUCCAAGUAAUAAAUUAAAUUAAUUAAAAUGUAUUGAAUUGAAUUGUGUUUUAAGAGGGAGUAGAGGAGGCACACUUUGUCGUCUUAGUCGUUGUUUAGAGGCGGAGCAGUGGCUGGCGAGGAGCGUGAGUGGCGAGGACGAGGAUAAAUAAACAUUUUUUAAUUAAGCCAAUUUAAGGAAAUGAUGAAUAUAUAUUUUUUUGAAACUUUUUUGACAAAACCAAGAAUAUAAACGAAACAAAAAGAGAAAAACCAAAUGAAAAUACAUAAAAGUAAAAUUACUCGUCAAAGGCAGCAAGGCAGCAGGAACGACACGACCGAAAGCUAGGCAAAAGAAACAAGCUCAUUAAACUUAAACAAAACAAAACACAUAAAACAAAAGUUUCGAUAGGGUGAGGGAUUACGCGUAAACGAGGCGAACCGUAGUUCUAGGAGGAGUAGGAAUGGAACAGAACACGACGACAAAGGCGUAAACUAACUUUAAGUAAACGUAAAAGGCAAGCAGCUAAUUAAACUUAGAACAGAAUAAUUAAAUGAGAGUAAUGUACAUUUCGCUUGUUGCUAUUUUUAAGUUUUAAAUCAAAGUCUUUUAAAGAACUUUAUUCAUUUUCUUAUUAACAAUGAUAAAAACCAAAAACCACAAAAAAAUUAAGCAAAGCAAAUGCGCAAAAAUAAAACGAAAAACUAUAUCUCUAAUUGUAAUUCUCCAGGAAAAGAAAACAAAAACUGAGGGAAGAACGAAUGCAAACGAAAACAUGAAUAAGAAUCCUUUUCAACUCUCUGUGUAUUUUUUAAGGUAUUAUUUUUUGCAUCAAUGUGACGCUUUUAAGCAUUUUUUAUAUGGCAAAAGAAUUGUAUCUAAAACUCUAGUAAAAGCUAAAGAAAACAUAAGGACAAAUGACAACAAGAAAAAUGCGAAAAUGCGACAUCUUUGCUACAACUUUCAAAUUUAUACGCGUACUUUUUGUGCCCUCAACUUUAAUGCAAAAAAUCAUACAUUGAAAAACUGAAUUGGAGAUCAAGAGAUACAGUUAAAAGAAUAUAAAAAAAACCAAAACAGAUCAAAUAAAGAAAAAUUAGUUUAAGCAUAACAUUUUGCAGCUUUUGUGCUUAUUUCGCUUAAGAAAAGUAAGACUAGUUGAACAAAGAAACCAAAAUUAAAUGAAGAAAAACAUUAAAUCUAAUUGUAAGUAAACAAAAAAGAAUACAAGAAACGAGAAUAGAUCAGUAUAGAACAGAACAGAAAAAGAAAGAGAAAAGAGGCAAGGAAGAAUCAAGCAAGAGCUAGGGAAAGGGCACUCUUAGCCCAAUGAGAGGCGAAGCAGCAGAAAGCGUUAAACCGAACAUAGCAAAAGAUUUAAACGAAGAAGAAGAACUCAUAAAAGUAAAAGAAGAAGAAAACGUCUCUUUGGUAAGAAAAAAAAAGAAAAACCUAAAACCUAAAGAGCAAAAGCUGUCAUCCAAAACCAGAAAAAAAAUGAAACUGAACUUUUUCUGAAUCAAUAAAAAAUUGAUUUUCUGUAAGAAAACAAAAUCCAGAUGCACUUUUUACUUCAGCAGCAAAAAAAAAUUAAUUUCCAAAUUAUAUUUUCCAACUUCGUUAUCGUAACAGAGAUUUUUAUGGCGAACGACAGUCCUGCGAUCCUUGGAAAAUGGAGUCCCGUUGAACCCGGCCAACGCCUGCAUUUGCUACAUUGUCAUUAAUAUGAGUCAAUAUAUGUACUUCGUGUGCGAAUUAAUCUGCGCGGCCAUCUUGAAGAUCUUGCCCAGGUGCAUGGGCAUCAACGACGACGACGACUAGAGAGCCCUGCACUUCCAUGAAAUUUGCGUGCCAAUCGAUCAAGGACAUUUUUUCGAUCAUGAGAAUCCGUUUUACCCCCAGGGGUGCAUUCUGAUUUUCAGCAGGGACAAUAAGGAUAAUGAAUUUUUUACGUUCCACUUUAGAUUAUUUUUAUAUGUACAUAGGUUUUAAAUUAAAAACAAAUUGUUUGUUGAAUGAGUUGGAUAAU
Molecule: long non-coding RNA, 5263 nt
Organism: Drosophila obscura
Lineage: Eukaryota; Metazoa; Arthropoda; Insecta; Diptera; Drosophilidae
Exons: 3
Source: RefSeq, a predicted model, not a curated record